RNAcentral lists this ribosomal RNA (492 nucleotides) under uncultured bacterium. Its description in RNAcentral is "partial 16S ribosomal RNA". It matches the Rfam family "Bacterial small subunit ribosomal RNA", at positions 28 to 507 of the family's 1533-position model. The record is from RNAcentral.
GAUGAACGCUAGCUACAGGCUUAACACAUGCAAGUCGAGGGGAAACGGCAUCGAAAGCUUGCUUUUGAUGGGCGUCGACCGGCGCACGGGUGAGUAACGCGUAUCCAACCUGCCCAUCACUUGGGAAUAACCUUGCGAAAGUAAGACUAAUGCCCAAUGACAUCCCACGAAGGCAUCCGAAUGGGAUUAAAGAUUUAUCGGUGAUGGAUGGGGAUGCGUCUGAUUAGCUUGUUGGCGGGGUGACGGCCCACCAAGGCAACGAUCAGUAGGGGUUCUGAGAGGAAGGUCCCCCACAUUGGAACUGAGACACGGUCCAAACUCCUACGGGAGGCAGCAGUGAGGAAGAUUGGUCAAUGGGCGAGAGCCUGAACCAGCCAAGUAGCGUGCAGGAGGACGGCCCUAUGGGUUGUAAACUGCUUUUAUAAGGGAAUAAAGUGGGUCACGUGUGACUUUUUGCAUGUACCUUAUGAAUAAGGACCGGCUAAUUCCGUG